RNAcentral lists this ribosomal RNA (273 nucleotides) under uncultured bacterium. RNAcentral's name for it is "partial 16S ribosomal RNA". It matches the Rfam family "Bacterial small subunit ribosomal RNA", at positions 524 to 796 of the family's 1533-position model. The record is from RNAcentral.
GACGGAGGGUGCUAGCGUUGUUCGGAAUCACUGGGCGUAAAGGGCGCGCAGGCGGCCUGGUUGGUCGGGUGUGAAAGCCCGGGGCUCAACCCCGGAACGGCACCCGAGACGGCCAAGCUGGAGACCGGGAGAGGAGGGUGGAAUAGCCAGUGUAGAGGUGAAAUUCGUAGAUAUUGGCUGGAACACCGGUGGCGAAAGCGGCUCUCUGGCCCGGUUCUGACGCUGAGGCGCGAAAGCGUGGGGAGCAAACAGGAUUAGAAACCCCCGUAGUCC